This 492-nucleotide ribosomal RNA is filed under the name uncultured bacterium. Its description in RNAcentral is "bacterial SSU rRNA". It matches the Rfam family "Bacterial small subunit ribosomal RNA", at positions 28 to 518 of the family's 1533-position model. The record is from RNAcentral.
GACGAACGCUGGCGGCGCGCCUAACACAUGCAAGUCGAACGGAGCGUAUUUGUUGAAGGUUUCGGCUGGAAACAGAUAUUGCUUAGUGGCGAACGGGUGAGUAACACGUGAAUAACCUGCCCUGGAGUGGGGGACAACAUUUGGAAACGAAUGCUAAUACCGCAUAAGACCACGGAGCCGCAUGGCUCUGGGGCCAAAGGAGCAAUUCGCUCUAGGAUGGAUUCGCGUCUGAUUAGCUAGUUGGUGAGGUAACGGCCCACCAAGGCAACGAUCAGUAGCCGGACUGAGAGGUCGAUCGGCCACAUUGGGACUGAGACACGGCCCAGACUCCUACGGGAGGCAGCAGUGGGGAAUAUUGGGCAAUGGGCGAAAGCCUGACCCAGCGACGCCGCGUGGAGGAAGAAGGUUUUCGGAUUGUAAACUCCUGUCUUCGGGGAAGAUAAUGACGGUACCCGAGGAGGAAGCCACGGCUAACUACGUGCCAGCAGCCGC